UACAGGCUUAACACAUGCAAGUCGAGGGGCAGCAUGGUCUUAGCUUGCUAAGGCCGAUGGCGACCGGCGCACGGGUGAGUAACACGUAUCCAACCUGCCGUCUACUCUUGGACAGCCUUCUGAAAGGAAGAUUAAUACAAGAUGGCAUCAUGAGUCCGCAUGUUCACAUGAUUAAAGGUAUUCCGGUAGACGAUGGGGAUGCGUUCCAUUAGAUAGUAGGCGGGGUAACGGCCCACCUAGUCUUCGAUGGAUAGGGGUUCUGAGAGGAAGGUCCCCCACAUUGGAACUGAGACACGGUCCAAACUCCUACGGGAGGCAGCAGUGAGGAAUAUUGGUCAAUGGGCGCAGGCCUGAACCAGCCAAGUAGCGUGAAGGAUGACUGCCCUAUGGGUUGUAAACUUCUUUUAUAAAGGAAUAAAGUCGGGUAUGGAUACCCGUUUGCAUGUACUUUAUGAAUAAGGAUCGGCUAACUCCGUGCCAGCAGCCGCGGUAAUACGGAGGAUCCGAGCGUUAUCCGGAUUUAUUGGGUUUAAAGGGAGCGUAGAUGGAUGUUUAAGUCAGUUGUGAAAGUUUGCGGCUCAACCGUAAAAUUGCAGUUGAUACUGGAUAUCUUGAGUGCAGUUGAGGCAGGCGGAAUUCGUGGUGUAGCGGUGAAAUGCUUAGAUAUCACGAAGAACUCCGAUUGCGAAGGCAGCCUGCUAAGCUGCAACUGACAUUGAGGCUCGAAAGUGUGGGUAUCAAACAGGAUUAGAUACCCUGGUAGUCCACACGGUAAACGAUGAAUACUCGCUGUUUGCGAUAUACUGCAAGCGGCCAAGCGAAAGCGUUAAGUAUUCCACCUGGGGAGUACGCCGGCAACGGUGAAACUCAAAGGAAUUGACGGGGGCCCGCACAAGCGGAGGAACAUGUGGUUUAAUUCGAUGAUACGCGAGGAACCUUACCCGGGCUUAAAUUGCAGAUGAAUUACGGUGAAAGCCGUAAGCCGCAAGGCAUCUGUGAAGGUGCUGCAUGGUUGUCGUCAGCUCGUGCCGUGAGGUGUCGGCUUAAGUGCCAUAACGAGCGCAACCCUUGUUGUCAGUUACUAACAGGUUCCGCUGAGGACUCUGACAAGACUGCCAUCGUAAGAUGUGAGGAAGGUGGGGAUGACGUCAAAUCAGCACGGCCCUUACGUCCGGGGCUACACACGUGUUACAAUGGGGGGUACAGAGGGCCGCUACCACGCGAGUGGAUGCCAAUCCCAAAAACCUCUCUCAGUUCGGACUGGAGUCUGCAACCCGACUCCACGAAGCUGGAUUCGCUAGUAAUCGCGCAUCAGCCACGGCGCGGUGAAUACGUUCCCGGGCCUUGUACACACCGCCCGUCAAGCCAUGGGAGCCGGGGGUACCUGAAGUGCGUAACCGCGAGGAGCGCCCUAGGGUAAAACUGGUGACUGGGGCUAAGUCAU
Molecule: ribosomal RNA, 1444 nt
Filed under: uncultured organism
Description: SSU rRNA
Rfam family: Bacterial small subunit ribosomal RNA
Source: RNAcentral